UACGGGGGGGGCAAGCGUUGUUCGGAAUUACUGGGCGUAAAGGGCUCGUAGGCGGCCAACUAAGUCAGACGUGAAAUCCCUCGGCUUAACCGGGGAACUGCGUCUGAUACUGGAUGGCUUGAGGUUGGGAGAGGGAUGCGGAAUUCCAGGUGUAGCGGUGAAAUGCGUAGAUAUCUGGAGGAACACCGGUGGCGAAGGCGGGUUGCUGGGCUGACACUGACGCUGACAGCGCGAAAGCUAGGGGAGCGAACGGG
RNAcentral lists this ribosomal RNA (254 nucleotides) under uncultured bacterium. Its description in RNAcentral is "partial 16S ribosomal RNA". It matches the Rfam family "Bacterial small subunit ribosomal RNA", at positions 524 to 776 of the family's 1533-position model. The record is from RNAcentral.